CUCAGGAUGAACGCUGGCGGCGUGCCUAAUACAUGCAAGUCGAGCGACUGAUUAGAAGCUUGCUUCUAUGACGUUAGCGGCGGACGGGUGAGUAACACGUGGGCAACCUGCCUGUAAGACUGGGAUAACUUCGGGAAACCGAAGCUAAUACCGGAUAGGAUCUUCUCCUUCAUGGGAGAUGAUUGAAAGAUGGUUUCGGCUAUCACUUACAGAUGGGCCCGCGGUGCAUUAGCUAGUUGGUGAGGUAACGGCUCACCAAGGCAACGAUGCAUAGCCGACCUGAGAGGGUGAUCGGCCACACUGGGACUGAGACACGGCCCAGACUCCUACGGGAGGCAGCAGUAGGGAAUCUUCCGCAAUGGACGAAAGUCUGACGGAGCAACGCCGCGUGAGUGAUGAAGGCUUUCGGGUCGUAAAACUCUGUUGUUAGGGAAGAACAAGUACAAGAGUAACUGCUUGUACCUUGACGGUACCUAACCAGAAAGCCACGGCUAACUACGUGC
This 503-nucleotide ribosomal RNA is filed under the name Priestia aryabhattai. Its description in RNAcentral is "bacterial SSU rRNA". It matches the Rfam family "Bacterial small subunit ribosomal RNA", at positions 23 to 508 of the family's 1533-position model. The record is from RNAcentral. Lineage: Bacteria; Bacillati; Bacillota; Bacilli; Caryophanales; Bacillaceae.